UUCUAGUUAUAUAUUAAAUCGGUAGAAAAAAUAUACAUGAAGCUAGCAGACCAGGGUUUAUUUUCCAGAUUAAGAAUAUAAGAUGCUUGUUGAAAUUUCCAAUUUUGAAUUAUGCACAAAGAUGGACCUUUAACAGGUUGGGAACAACACUCCAAAUGAGGGUAACCUAACUGGAAGAUCAUCACAACCCACUGUAAAAAAUGAGCACAAAAAAGUCAUUUAUAUUCAUAUUAUUUGAUGAAACUUUUCCCCAAGAACUAUGCAUCUAUUAAGUACUGAAUGGUCAAAACAUCAUGUUUUUUUUAUCGACAUAAAUUUUGUCGUAAAUGUAACCAAAUGAUGUAGAAAUUGUGUUUUUUCUUCAAAUUUCCAUCAAAUUGUAAUGUUUAUAGUUUCCUUAUUGCCUCUCUAUUUGAAUAAAAUAAAAUAAUAAGAAGAAUCUGUUUCUUGUUUUGUUUUGUUUUGUUUUUGACAAAUGAUUGUUCACUGCUUGCAAAUGAAUCAUUAUAUUUAUAUAUCUUAUCUGUAUAUAUUUUUGUUCAUGUCUCCAUCUCCUUAUCAUUUGUAAAUGUAUAGACAAAUAAGAAAGAAAUAAGCUCCACAUGUAUAUUUGCAACAUCGUAAAUUAAUUAAAAAAAUAACAAACACUAACACUAGUACUGCAUGGAUUUUAAGCAUUAUGAAAGUCAUAUUUGUAGAAAGCUUAAAAAGACUUAAAAACAGUGUAAAAUGUCUUGCUAUUUCUUAGCUUACACAAUAAAAUCUAUUAUCGCUAUUUUGUGCAUUUUUCGUUUGAUCUUUUUUUGUGAUAAUUUUCAUAUCAUGCUACUCGCUUGAGAUGGAAUAAUUAUCACUAGAAACUAAGGAGGCCACGUGGCGUUGCUAACGAAAUUGAGAUGAACAUGAUGAAAUUGACAACGUCGUCAUAGGUAAAAUAGCGAUAAAUAGAUUAUCAUUGGUCAUCUCAACUCGAUUGCUUUUCUCACUUUCGCUGUACCAGCUCAAGCGAGAAAAUCAAUCUCGUUGAGAUGAU
This 1033-nucleotide long non-coding RNA is filed under the name Mytilus galloprovincialis (Mediterranean mussel). Lineage: Eukaryota; Metazoa; Mollusca; Bivalvia; Mytilida; Mytilidae. The record is from RNAcentral.